UAUCUCUUUCGUCUGCAGGGGGAGGGGUUACACCAGCUCCGAGAGGCUUUGAAGAUUUUAGCUGAGAGGGUUUUAAUCUUGGAAACAAUGAUUGGGCUCCAUGGCCAUUAGCUUACAAAGCUUCCUAGAGCAGCAGGCCCAGCUGGAGCUCCUGGCUAGGAGGGUCACCUUGCUGGAAGCUAUCAUCUGGCCAGAACCAGAACUGGGAUCCGGCAUUGGUCCUGCCUCCACUAGCACUCCCAGCUACUACCGGGGGAAACGUGAUGAGAAUCUGGCAGCUUACAGGGUGACCUCCCACCAGCAUGCCCAGAGGAAAGAGGACAAGAAGAAAUGAAGAGUGACCAGCUUGCCUGCUGGGUGCAAAAGGAAAGCACACUUGCAAUCACAGCGGUCUCCUUUGGGGUGGCGUCCAACCCUCUGCCCGCUUUUGACCGUCGCAAGGUGAAGCAGCAAAAAGGGGUGCAUUGCCACUGCGCCUGGGAGAAUACUUGCUUGCUAACAGCCCUGCUUUAUAUUUAUUUGGUCUGUUCCUUUUGUGCAAGGGGUCUGUAACCAAUUUGUUGUGUGCCUGGCUUAAACUGUUGCCAGAGCUGAGCCUGUGUGCACCUUUUGUGAUUGCCUGACUCUCCUGCAGGGGGAGCUCUCCAUCUCUUGGUGCUGUUUUGCAGGGAUGUGUUUCCCCCUUCCCUAGAUACACUGGCCUGUAGUUUGCUGAUACUUUCCUGCCACUGUGGGACGGGACGUUGGCCUGUGAGUUCACUGAAGUAAA
Molecule: long non-coding RNA, 769 nt
Organism: Heteronotia binoei (common prickly gecko)
Lineage: Eukaryota; Metazoa; Chordata; Lepidosauria; Squamata; Gekkonidae
Exons: 3
Source: RefSeq, a predicted model, not a curated record